UGUCUUUAGUGGGGUGCGCAAGGUAUAAUCACUUCCCUCAAUCUGCUGGCAGUGCUCCUACCAGUGCAUCCCAGUAUACCAUUAGUGUUCUUGGCAACAAGGGCACACUAUUGGCUCAUAUACCCAGCUUAUUGUCCACUGUAACCCCCAGAUCCUUUUCU
Molecule: long non-coding RNA, 161 nt
Organism: Gavialis gangeticus (Gharial)
Lineage: Eukaryota; Metazoa; Chordata; Crocodylia; Gavialidae
Exons: 3
Source: RefSeq, a predicted model, not a curated record